AGUGAACGCUGGCGGUAGGCCUAACACAUGCAAGUCGGACGGCAGCACAGUAAGAGCUUGCUCUUACGGGUGGCGAGUGGCGGACGGGUGAGGAAUACAGCGGAAUCUACUUUUUCGUGGGGGAUAACGUAGGGAAACUUACGCUAAUACCGCAUACGACCUACGGGUGAAAGCAGGGGAUCUUCGGACCUUGCGCGAUUGAAUGAGCCGAUGUCGGAUUAGCUAGUUGGCGGGGUAAAGGCCCACCAAGGCGACGAUCCGUAGCUGGUCUGAGAGGAUGAUCAGCCACAUUGGAACUGAGACACGGUCCAGACUCCUACGGGAGGCAGCAGUGGGGAAUAUUAGACAAUGGGCGCAAGCCUGAUCCAGCCAUACCGCGUGGGUGAAGAAGGCCUUCGGGUUGUAAAGCCCUUUUGUUGGGAGAGAAAAGCAGCAGGUUAAUACCCCGCUGUUCUGACGGUACCCAAAGAAUAAGCACCGGCUAACUUCGUG
RNAcentral lists this ribosomal RNA (492 nucleotides) under uncultured bacterium. Its description in RNAcentral is "partial 16S ribosomal RNA". It matches the Rfam family "Bacterial small subunit ribosomal RNA", at positions 29 to 507 of the family's 1533-position model. The record is from RNAcentral.